This 289-nucleotide ribosomal RNA is filed under the name uncultured bacterium. RNAcentral describes it as "partial 16S ribosomal RNA". It matches the Rfam family "Bacterial small subunit ribosomal RNA", at positions 29 to 334 of the family's 1533-position model. The record is from RNAcentral.
AACGAACGCUGGCGGCAGGUUUUAGGCAUGCAAGUCGAACGAGAAAUCACUUUCGGGUGAGAGUAGAGUGGCGCACGGGUGAGUAAAGUAUAGGAAGAUACCUUAUAGAUGGGAAUAACUAUUGGAAACGGUAGCUAAAACCUAAUGAGUCCUACGGGAUAAAAAUUUAUUGCUAUAAGAGUCGCCUGUAUUAGAUUAGCUAGUUGGUUGGGUAAAGGCUAACCAAGGCAAUGAUCUAUAGCUGGUUUGAGAGAAUGAUCAGCCACACUGGGACUGAGACACGGCCCAG